RNAcentral lists this long non-coding RNA (855 nucleotides) under Gallus gallus (chicken). Lineage: Eukaryota; Metazoa; Chordata; Aves; Galliformes; Phasianidae. The record is from RNAcentral.
GGGCGGAGCCGCCCGCGGCAGCGAUGUGGGGCGGCGCUGCGGAUGGGGCCGUCUGCGCCAUCGGUGGGGGCAAUAAAGGGCAGCCCCCCCCCCCCGCUCCUCCCGGCCGCCGGGGGGCGCUGUGUCCGCCCGCCCACUCCCCGCAACGCCGCCCCACCGCCCUAUAGGGCAGGGAUGGCCCCAUAGCCUCCGGUGUGGGGCUGGAAUGAUCCCAUUCCUUGUGAUGUAGAUUAGGGCCGACCCCAUACCUUGUGCUGUGGGGCUGGAACAACCCCAUACCCUGUGUUGUAGGGCAGGGCUGACCCCAUACCCUGUGUUGUGGGGCUGGGGUGGCCCCAUAUCUUGUGUUGUGGGGCUGGAACGACCCCAUAUGUUGUCUUGUGGGGCUGGGGUGGCCCCAUACCCUGUGUUGUAGGGCAGGUCUGACCCCACACCCUGUGUUGUGGGGCCGGGGUGACCCCAUACCCUGCAAUGUGGGGCAGUGGGAGGCGCACAGGACCCCAUCUCUGCCCCACAUCAUGCAGUGGCGGCCGGAGCUGUGCUAUAGGGCUUCCUAUAGGGCAGGCCGUAGGGCCGGGAAAUAAAGGCGGGUUUAUGGGACAGGCAGCGACCCAACGGGAUCUACGCACGAUCCCAUCCCGACCCUCGGCCCCACUGCAGCCCACACGCCGUGGGGCGACGCCGGGACUGAAAGAAAAGCCGUGGCUGAAAAUAGAGCUCUGUUGGUUCUCUGUACAGAAGAGAUGCAAAAGGGGGAAAUGGGGUCUCUAAAAGGCGGUGUGGGGGCAGAGCGGCCCCAUAAAGGGGGAUCUGAACCCAAAGCUGAGGGCGGGGGGACCCCCAGCCCUGCGCUCC